This 301-nucleotide ribosomal RNA is filed under the name uncultured bacterium. RNAcentral's name for it is "partial 16S ribosomal RNA". It matches the Rfam family "Bacterial small subunit ribosomal RNA", at positions 509 to 809 of the family's 1533-position model. The record is from RNAcentral.
CAGCAGCCGCGGGAAUACAGAGGGUGCGAGCGUUAAUCGGAUUUACUGGGCGUAAAGCGUGCGUAGGCGGCUUUUUAAGUCGGAUGUGAAAUCCCUGAGCUUAACUUAGGAAUUGCAUUCGAUACUGGGAAGCUAGAGUAUGGGAGAGGAUGGUAGAAUUCCAGGUGUAGCGGUGAAAUGCGUAGAGAUCUGGAGGAAUACCGAUGGCGAAGGCAGCCAUCUGGCCUAAUACUGACGCUGAGGUACGAAAGCAUGGGGAGCAAACAGGAUUAGAGACCCCAGUAGUCCCUGUCUCUUAUAU